AACGUAGGAGGCAAGCGUUAUCCGGAGUUACUGGGCGUAAAGAGUGCGUAGGCGGAUUGAUAAGUGGGUGGUGAAAGCGCCCGGCUAAACCGGGCGAGGUCCAUUCAGACUGUCAGUCUAGAGGCGGAUAGAGGGGUGCGGAAUUCCGGGUGUAGCGGUGAAAUGCGUAGAUAUCAGGAGGAACACCGGUGGCGAAGGCGGCUACCUGGACAGAAACUGACGCUGAGGCGCGAAAGCCAGGGGAGCAAACGGG
This 253-nucleotide ribosomal RNA is filed under the name uncultured bacterium. RNAcentral describes it as "partial 16S ribosomal RNA". It matches the Rfam family "Bacterial small subunit ribosomal RNA", at positions 524 to 776 of the family's 1533-position model. The record is from RNAcentral.